Molecule: ribosomal RNA, 464 nt
Filed under: uncultured bacterium
Lineage: Bacteria
Description: partial 16S ribosomal RNA
Rfam family: Bacterial small subunit ribosomal RNA
Source: RNAcentral
GACGAACGCUGGCGGCGUGCUUAACACAUGCAAGUCGAACGGUAAGGCCCCAGCUUGCUGGGGUACACGAGUGGCGAACGGGUGAGUAACACGUGGUUGACCUGCCCCGCACUUCGGGAUAAGCCUGGGAAACUGGGUCUAAUACCGGAUAGGACCGCACCGUGAGGGUGUGGUGGAAAGUUUUUCGGUGUGGGAUGGGCCCGCGGCCUAUCAGCUUGUUGGUGGGGUAAUGGCCUACCAAGGCGGCGACGGGUAGCCGGCCUGAGAGGGUGGACGGCCACAUUGGGACUGAGACACGGCCCAGACUCCUACGGGAGGCAGCAGUGGGGAAUAUUGCACAAUGGGCGGAAGCCUGAUGCAGCGACGCCGCGUGGGGGAUGACGGCCUUCGGGUUGUAAACUCCUUUCACCAUCGACGAAGGUUUUCUGACGGUAGAUGGAGAAGAAGCACCGGCUAACUACGUG